UCGUGGGUAACCUACCUAUAAGACUGGGAUAACUUCGGGAAACCGGAGCUAAUACCGGAUAACAUUUGGAACCGCGUGGUUCUAAAGUGAAAGAUGGUUUUGCUAUCACCUAUAGAUGGACCCGCGCCGUAUUAGCUAGUUGGUAAGGUAACGGCUUACCAAGGCAACGAUACGUAGCCGACCUGAGAGGGUGAUCGGCCACACUGGAACUGAGACACGGUCCAGACUCCUACGGGAGGCAGCAGUAGGGAAUCUUCCGCAAUGGGCGAAAGCCUGACGGAGCAACGCCGCGUGAGUGAUGAAGGGUUUCGGCUCGUAAAACUCUGUUAUUAGGGAAGAACAAAUGUGUAAGUAACUGUGCACGUCUUGACGGUA
RNAcentral lists this ribosomal RNA (375 nucleotides) under uncultured bacterium. RNAcentral describes it as "bacterial SSU rRNA". It matches the Rfam family "Bacterial small subunit ribosomal RNA", at positions 115 to 477 of the family's 1533-position model. The record is from RNAcentral.